GAUCAUGGCUCAGGAUGAACGCUAGCUACAGGCUUAACACAUGCAAGUCGGAGGGGCAGCAUGGUCUUAGCUUGCUAAGGCUGAUGGCGACCGGCGCACGGGUGAGUAACACGUAUCCAACCUGCCGUCUACUCUUGGCCAGCCUUCUGAAAGGAAGAUUAAUCCAGGAUGGGAUCAUGAGUUCACAUGUCCGCAUGAUUAAAGGUUAUUUUCCGGUAGACGAUGGGGA
Molecule: ribosomal RNA, 229 nt
Filed under: uncultured bacterium
Lineage: Bacteria
Description: partial 16S ribosomal RNA
Rfam family: Bacterial small subunit ribosomal RNA
Source: RNAcentral